RNAcentral lists this ribosomal RNA (336 nucleotides) under Triticum aestivum (bread wheat). RNAcentral describes it as "partial small subunit ribosomal RNA". The record is from RNAcentral. Lineage: Eukaryota; Viridiplantae; Streptophyta; Magnoliopsida; Poales; Poaceae.
AUGAAGAAAUGUCUAAUCACUUUGUGUGGUUCAGGCUUGUUUAUGUGUUCUAACGACUCCAGCAUCAGUCAAUGGCUUGGUCUGCCUUCGUGCCGCCUCUGGGUUUGCUCAUCCUGUCUGUUUGAUGUGGGCUCCUCUUCUAAUUUUUAUUUUGCUUACUGCAAUUCUACUGGCCACAAUCCAUUAAUUACUCGGCCUGCACACGUUUUCUUCCACAAAUCUAUGCACACAAUUCGUUGGCAGCGUUAUGGUGUGAGAAAGGCAGCCAUGGUGGCUGCCAUAGCCAGUGAAGGAGAAAGGGUGGAUUUGAGGAGAAAGAAGAAGGGGAAGAGGUGA